GCUCUACACAAUGAUGACUUAAAUUUUUGUUGUUUACCCAGCUGAGGGUAUCUUUGAAGAAAUAAUAAAAAAUAAUAAUGAAAAC
Small nucleolar RNA from Nycticebus coucang (slow loris), 85 nucleotides. RefSeq annotates it as small nucleolar RNA SNORD87. The record is from RefSeq and is a predicted model, not a curated record. The transcript has a single exon. Lineage: Eukaryota; Metazoa; Chordata; Mammalia; Primates; Lorisidae.